UUGGAGGUUGUGCCCUUGAGGCGUGGCUUCCGGAGCUAACGCGUUAAAUCGACCGCCUGGGGAGUACGGCCGCAAGGUUAAAACUCAAAUGAAUUGACGGGGGCCCGCACAAGCGGUGGAGCAUGUGGUUUAAUUCGAUGCAACGCGAAGAACCUUACCUACUCUUGACAUCCAGAGAACUUUCCAGAGAUGGAUUGGUGCCUUCGGGAACUCUGAGACAGGUGCUGCAUGGCUGUCGUCAGCUCGUGUUGUGAAAUGUUGGGUUAAGUCCCGCAACGAGCGCAACCCUUAUCCUUUGUUGCCAGCGAUUCGGUCGGGAACUCAAAGGAGACUGCCGGUGAUAAACCGGAGGAAGGUGGGGAUGACGUCAAGUCAUCAUGGCCCUUACGAGUAGGGCUACACACGUGCUACAAUGGCGUAUACAAAGAGAAGCAAGCUCGCGAGAGCAAGCGGACCUCAUAAAGUACGUCGUAGUCCGGAUUGGAGUCUGCAACUCGACUCCAUGAAGUCGGAAUCGCUAGUAAUCGUAGAUCAGAAUGCUACGGUGAAUACGUUC
This 556-nucleotide ribosomal RNA is filed under the name Serratia sp. (in: enterobacteria). Its description in RNAcentral is "bacterial SSU rRNA". It matches the Rfam family "Bacterial small subunit ribosomal RNA", at positions 817 to 1373 of the family's 1533-position model. Lineage: Bacteria; Pseudomonadati; Pseudomonadota; Gammaproteobacteria; Enterobacterales; Yersiniaceae. The record is from RNAcentral.